Molecule: long non-coding RNA, 804 nt
Filed under: Mus caroli (Ryukyu mouse)
Lineage: Eukaryota; Metazoa; Chordata; Mammalia; Rodentia; Muridae
Description: lncRNA (MGP_CAROLIEiJ_G0003157.1)
Source: RNAcentral
AGGCCACUGGCGCCGGUCUCCCACACGCUGCCGCACCUUCGGGUUCCAGCCUCACUGCCUGCGACAGCCCGGCUCCGCACGACCUUUUAAAGGUAGCUUUUCUGAGCUCAAGGGAAAGGCCCAAAUAUGGGAACCUGGGAAGAAGCAUUGAGAGGGUGGUCCUUUGGGAUAGGAGGUUGAAGAAACAGCAUUUGUUCAGAGUGUGCCAGGCGAGAUCAUGCAUUCGGGUAUGAUUGUUCUAGUGUGAAUCCUUUCACAGGUAAGACACGUGUCCUCCUACAACUCAAGGCGGGAAAAACACAAAAGGCCAGUUCCUGCUGGUGGACAUACUGAAGGAGGACCUGAGAUGCUAAAGAAAACAGCUCACACACAAGGUGAAGGAAGCCCAGGUAGAGGGUAUGGAUCCCUCGAACCUGUCAGUAGACGAAACACACGGCUUCUUGUGUGCAGAGAAACAGCUCCAUCCGAGAACACCGCCUGGACCUCCGCCUACUCAUGUGAUGAAGGAACAACAGUAGCCUUGGCAAUCCACGCUUGUGCCACCUACCUGCAGCCAGCUUCUCCCCCACCCCCAUCACCAGCAGGUCACUCUGGCCAUCUUUGAUGGCCCUCUAUGGAAGAUAUCACUAUCCCUCAGCUUCCCCCUGGUUGGUUGGCAAGAGUAUCUUGCUACAACCAACCUUUUCAUGGAUACAUGUUCAUAUCCUCUGUGGGCUGGUGAGGUGGCUCUGUGAGUAGACACCUGCCAUCAAGUCUGUCAAGCUGAGUCCUAUCCCUCAGACCAAGGGAAAAGAAGAGAACCAA